CCUCCGCGGCUCUCGCAGCCGGCUCCGCUCCCGGCUCGGCUGCGCAUCGCGGGAGCGCUCUGACAGCACCUGCAGGACAGCGCGGGCACUCGGAGCCGGGAAGGGGAAUAAGUUGGCUACAUUAUCUUUGGAAAAUGAAGGAAGGAAUAGUUUAGGACAUGACCAUUCAAAAACUCUUUGGUGGGGGUGGAAGUUUCAGCAACCAGUUCUUUUUUUCAGGUUCCUGUUACGCAGCUGCUGUUGACCCUACUCUUGAUUCAGAAAGCUCUAGGUUUUAGAUCUGUUGUACUGAAUGUAAAAGGCCUGGAAAAAGCAAGACUGGACAGAGACUGACAAGAUAGACUUCCAAUCAGUCAUGUUACAAAUAAAAAAAAGUAUUCAAAGUGGAAGAAGCACGGAGGAGGGACUGCUGUGGGAAUGAAAAAGAAAAAUGGGGGCAUGGGAACUGCCUCUGUGUGCCGACAUCCUCAGCCUUUCCUCCCGUGGCUGCUCGGGGUGCUGGGGUAGCCCUCGGGGUUUUGGGAGGUCACAGGUGAUCACAUUUACGAGAGGAUAAAAAAGAAACUAUCACUCGUUGAGAAGACUUUUCACGGGAUUUGUGAUAACUCUCCAAAUUCUGAAGCCUGCUGAAAUUUUCCUUGACAGCCUAAACCAAAAUGUGCAGCUCCACCUGAGGCAUCUAAAGGGUACUGAAAGUGCAGGAACUCUCUUCAUAAAGGAAAACCUGCAUGGGCACUCACCCUGGUUUCCCUACAGCUUUUCCCUAAGACUAAAAUUUGCUUAAGGAAAGUUUCAAUAAGAAGGCAGAUUCGAUGGCUGAGUCCCACAGAGCAAGGGGCUGGGAAGAAAGAGCUCUUCAGCUUCUUCUGCACCACACUGGACACCAGUUACUGCCCCUGUGCCAUGUCUGCAUUUUGUGGGGUCAUUUAUGAGGCAGAUCAAUGGAUUGAUCCCUGCUAAGAGUAACCAGUCAGGAAGAUCAAUUAACACACUGAAAGACUUCUAAAUUUAAUCGCUCUGACCCCAGACUAUCCUGAGCAGUCUUUGCAUGGCUGGCAGUACAGAAGGAAUGGAUUUGCCAUAGUUCAGACAACUGAAACUCAGAAAAGAUCCAGUGUAAAAGAAAUGGAGCCAGGAGGUGGCUGUGUCGUGCAGACACUGAUGUGAGCACUGCUGGGCAAAUGUCUGUGGGCCUGGCUGCUGGCAUUAUCUUCUUCUCCAAAAUGAAGUAAUUGGGUUUCCCAAAGCUCCUUCCAAGGGAUAGCUGGGUACAGAGACACCUCUAUGUCUCUAUAUGCUUCCAGAGGGGCCCACAGCUACAGCUUGAAAGGUGGGCAACCUUCUACAUCCAAGCCUGUCUCCUUCCUUACCAAUCCUGCCUCCUGGCCACUGUGUCAGCCUUUGUGUCGUUGGAAGAAGAUGGACAGCAAAAAAAGGUUGUAUUCACCAGUGGAUCAGAUUUCAGAUGCUGUGUAGAUAAAUAAGUCCUGCCAUGAUGAUCCAGAAGAAUAGUUUCUUGGGAUAGCUACCAGGUGACUCCUUCACUACACAGUGAAGCUUGAGGAAGACAUGAGCAAGACAGUUUCUCCCAGUAGCAGAGGAUCAGACUUCAUGAAUGAGGAAUUUCCAUGUUUCUGUGAAAACUGACCACUCAUCCGUAAUUUAAUAACAUAAAACACAUAAACAUAUGAAACUCUUCCAUGUAUAUUUGCCAGUAAUAUGGGACUCACCUUUCUCAAAAGGGCAAGAAGAUCUUUGCUCAUGAGCCUGCAGGGCUCACUGACAGAGCUUUACACUACGGUAGGACAGGGGCAGUGGUUUUAAAGGAAAAGAGGCUUGAUUUAGAUCAGAUAUAUGGAAGAAGUGUUUUACAAUAAGGGGAGUAAAACACCAAUACAGGUUGCCCAGAAUGGUGGUGGAUGCCCCACCCCUGGAAACAUUCAAGUCAGGUUGGAUGGGGGGCUCUGAGCAACCUGAUCUAGGUGAAGAUUUCUCUGUUCAGUGCAGGGGACUUGGUCCAGAAGACCUCUAAAGGUACCUUCCAACACCAAGUGUACUAUGAUUCUAUGAAAGUUUCCAGAUAUAUUCUUUAGUCUCUUUUUUGUCUUUUAAAUAAUUUCCUUUCCUUUUCUUUAAUUUUUCCUGCUAUAUUUCACUUUCCUCGUUACUAUGCACUUGCUCACAAGUAGCAGUUGCUCUGCAUUAGAGCUGAUUAAAAGCAUAAAGAAAUGUAUUGAAGAAAGAAGUUACUAUAGUCACUCCUGAAAUGUUUGCACAGCCAUUUCAUGCUUUCAGAAAGUUCAAAAUAGUGGGAAAAAGCACAAAUGGAAAAAAGUUAGGAAGAACUGAAGAGAUUCUUCCUGACAGUCAGUAAAAACAUACAUUUCCAAAUAUUUCUGCAUUACAUUUUCAACUCCCAUUUUCCCCCCAAGUCUCAAAUGCCCACCUCUCAGACCAAGGUAGUUUCUCUUGUUUCGAUUCACUUUUCCACGGUGCAGACUGCUUGGCUUUUUAAGUCUGGAGAAUUCUUCUACCUACAAACAAAAAUCAAUGCAUAUCCUCCUUAGAGCAGAUAAGGGCCUCAACGGUCCUUCAUCAGUCUUCUGAUGAUGUUCAUUAUUUUAGGUGCCUGGCCUGUGAUUCUGAAUAGGGCAGAACAGAUGAGAUGUCUUUCUCUAGACACAUUCCUCAUCAGCCUUUUUGAACUCCCAUCGAAGAGUUGCUGUUUAUUCUCUCCUCACACCCACUCAGCCUCGCUGCGCCUCAGCAGCUGCCGUAAAAUUCUCCCCCUGAUGCUGAUGCAUAACUCACAUCUGCAUUAAUCAGAGCAUAGAUGGAGAAGCAGUGAGAGGGAAAAUAUACCCUCGUGAAUUUGGAAGCUCUGAGAGCAUCUAAGAAUAUGUGUUAUCCUUUCCUUGAGUGUACUAUUAAAAAUAAAAUAAAGCAUCUCAAACGCACAGGAUUAAGUUCAAGAUGCACAGACAUCUGAACUAAGGAGGGUUCAAUUUUUCCUUGUUUCUCUGGUGUUGUUCAAGUCUUUUGAAAAACAAGCAAACAAUAAACAACUGCAAGGCACUCUGGAGAAUAUUUCAGCCCAGCUGUGCUAAAGUAAAAUGUUAAAUACUGCAUACAAUGACACUGAAACUUUGCUCAAAUUGUCAUAAGUCUCGCUUGUCACAAGCAUUUACAUUAGCUGCUGAACACUGAACUGACUCCACAACAUGUCUAAGCAAAUUACAAAGCAAAUAAGGAGAAAAAAAAGAAAAUAAAAUUACUUUUCUUCCAUAAAUUGCUGUUAUAUACUACAGAGGUCAUAAGAAAAAAGUGCCAAAGAAACGACAGUACAUAUUUUCUCGGUUUUGAGAAAAAGCUAUCAGGAGGGGAAAAUAAAGAAAACAAACAGAAAAAGAUGCAUUAAAAAAUAAAAAUAUUAGGCUGAGAAAAUUAGACAAAUUGAGCCACCAUCACAGAGCAGAUAAGCUUAUCAUGUUUUAAAGAGAGAGUUAUAUUUUCAGUAGCAGAUAUACUAAUAUCUUUCUCACAGACAUUUAUUCAGUGAUUUGAGGCUCAGCAGAAAAGAAACUCCUAAUUUUCCACAGGCAAAGAUAUUCAGUAGCUUGUCCCUGGAUGCCCAGGGAAUAUGAACCCAAGUCUUCCCCUCUCCAUGCACCUCAUAGUCAAUGUUAUUAUUAUAAGAAACAAUAUUAUAAAAAUGCAAGUU
This is a long non-coding RNA of Lepidothrix coronata (blue-crowned manakin), 3721 nucleotides long. RefSeq lists it as uncharacterized. The transcript has 9 exons. Lineage: Eukaryota; Metazoa; Chordata; Aves; Passeriformes; Pipridae. The record is from RefSeq and is a predicted model, not a curated record.